UCUCCACUUUCCUAUGCAAGGGAAGACUUUCAGUUCUUUGGGGAUUUCCGGGACACUGAACAGCAGAGACCAGAAACCCAGGAGGCUGAGGAGAGAGGCAAGGUCAGGCUACCCAAGAACCAGCCUGACUGUACAUUGGAAUCCCAGACCAAAGAACUACAAGGAUGAUCUUACUUUGCAUUUUGUGGGUGUAGAGGAGGAGAGCCUGAAGUCUGCAGGUGCAGUAGCUGAAGAUAAAAUACACAGAGGUCCCGUCAUCAGCACAUUCACUACAGAAAACAUAGGCACCAAUUCGGAGCUUCCUGGGGAGAAUCAACAAAGAGAGAGAGAACUAGAUGAGAAGAAAGAGAGAGACAAGGAAUAAAAAAACUGAAGUUGGCAUGGGAGUUUAAUGAGGGUGAUGCCCAGCCAGCCAGCCCUCACACAUGAAGGUCUUCAACAACAACAAACAAC
Molecule: long non-coding RNA, 453 nt
Organism: Gopherus flavomarginatus (Mexican gopher tortoise)
Lineage: Eukaryota; Metazoa; Chordata; Testudines; Testudinidae
Exons: 3
Source: RefSeq, a predicted model, not a curated record